Molecule: ribosomal RNA, 1310 nt
Filed under: Somanniathelphusa grayi
Lineage: Eukaryota; Metazoa; Arthropoda; Malacostraca; Decapoda; Parathelphusidae
Description: 16S ribosomal RNA
Rfam family: Archaeal large subunit ribosomal RNA (bases 616-1310)
Source: RNAcentral
UAGAUAUAUCUUGUUAAAUAGUAAAAAAUGGUAGUUAGUAAAUGAAAAAUAAUUUAUAAGAAUAGAAAUAAGUAAUUUUUAAUGAAAAUUUUAAGAUAAACUAUAAAAUACAAGUACUGGGAAGGAAAGGGGGAUAUAAAAGGUAAAGAAAAGAAAUAUUCAAUAUUUGUACCUUGUGUAUAAUGGAAAAUCUAUAUAAUAUAAAAUAAAAUUAGGAUCCCGAAAUAAAAAUAGUUAAUUUUAUAAUAAAGUUUUUGUAGUAAAAAAAUUUUUAAUAUAAAGUUAAAGGUGAAAUGUUAGAACGAGUUUUAUAAUAUCUGGUUUUUUAAAAAAUAAAUUUAAUUUAGUUCUUAUUAUAAUAAGUAAUAAGAAGAAAAAAUAGAAAGGACAAGCUUUUUAUUAAUAACAAGAAAUAGUAGUAUGAGUAUAAAAAUAAUAAACUAAGCUUUAAAGUAGUUAUGUUUUAAAAGUGUUUUAACUAAGUAAGAAGUAUUUAAAAAUUAUACUUUUCUUUAAUAUUAAAAAUUUAUUUGAAAUAGGAGAUAAUAAGAUAAAAUGAUUUUAUUAGUAGAAUAAUAAGUUUAAAGGUUAAAAUAAAAUAAAGUGAGGGGUUAUAGUUUUAAUAUAAAUAUUAAUAAGGAACUCGGCAAAUGGUUUUCUUGCCUGUUUAUCAAAAACAUGUCUAUUUGGAGUUUUAAGAAGUCUGGCCUGCCCACUGAUAGUAAGUUUUUAAGGGCCGCGGUAUUAUGACCGUGCUAAGGUAGCAUAAUCAUUAGGUUUUUAAAUGAGAUCUUGUAUGAAUGGUUGAACAAAGAAAGAACUGUCUUUAAUAAUAAAAUUUGAAUUUUACUUUUAAGUGAGAAGGCUUAAAUAAUUUAAGGGGACGAUAAGACCCUAUAAAACUUUACAUUGAAAUUAUAUUUGGUUGAAUUUUAAAGUGAUAAAGAUCUAAAAUAAAGAUUGUUGUGUUGGGGCGACAAAAGUAGAAAUUAUAGUAGCUGCUUGAAAAAGAAUCACUUUAAGUGAUAAAAGUUAUAGAUCUUAAUUAUAAAUUUAAAGAUUAAGUUACUUUAGGGAUAACAGUGUAAUUUUUUUUGAGAGUUCAUAUCGAAAAAAAAGUUUGUAACCUCGAUGUUGAAUUAAAAUAUCUAUAUAAUGAAGCAGUUGUAUAAGAGGGUCUGUUCGACCUUUAAUUUUUUACAUGAUUUGAGUUCAAAUCGGCGUGAGCCAGAUUGGUUUCUAUCUCUUAAGGAAGAAGAAUUAUUUUAGUACGAAAGGAUUAAAUAGUUAAAAUAGUUUUAAAAAGUUGG